Molecule: ribosomal RNA, 253 nt
Filed under: uncultured bacterium
Lineage: Bacteria
Description: partial 16S ribosomal RNA
Rfam family: Bacterial small subunit ribosomal RNA
Source: RNAcentral
UACAGAGGUCCCGAGCGUUGUUCGGAUUUAUUGGGCGUAAAGGGUGCGUAGGCGGCGGAGCAAGUUGGGUGUGAAAUCCCGGGGCUUAACCUCGGAAUGGCAUUCAAUACUGCUUCGCUUGAGUACUGGAGAGGAGGCUGGAAUUUACGGUGUAGCAGUGAAAUGCGUAGAUAUCGUAAGGAAGGCCGGUGGCGAAAGCGAGCCUCUGGACAGUUACUGACGCUGAUGCACGAAGGCCAGGGGAGCAAACGGG